RNAcentral lists this transfer RNA (85 nucleotides) under Delitschia confertaspora ATCC 74209. RNAcentral's name for it is "tRNA-Pro". The record is from RNAcentral. Lineage: Eukaryota; Fungi; Ascomycota; Dothideomycetes; Pleosporales; Delitschiaceae.
GGCUUCAUGGUCUAGUGGUAUGAUUCCUGCUUUGGGUAUUCCUCAAAUUUGCAGGAGGCCCCGCGUUCGAAUCGCGGUGGAGCCC